This 450-nucleotide ribosomal RNA is filed under the name uncultured bacterium. RNAcentral's name for it is "bacterial SSU rRNA". It matches the Rfam family "Bacterial small subunit ribosomal RNA", at positions 354 to 796 of the family's 1533-position model. The record is from RNAcentral.
GUGAGGAAUAUUGGGCAAUGGGCGAAAGCCUGACCCAGCCACGCCGCGUGAGUGAUGAAGGCCUUCGGGUUGUAAAGCUCUGUGGGGAGGGAAGAAAAAGCGCAGGAGUAACUGCCUGUGUGUUGACGGUACCUCCUUAGCAAGCACCGGCUAACUCUGUGCCAGCAGCCGCGGUAAUACAGAGGGUGCAAACGUUGCUCGGAAUUACUGGGCGUAAAGCGCGUGUAGGCUGACAUGCAAGUCGGGUGUGAAAUCCCAGGGCUCAACCUUGGAACUGCACUCGAAACUGCACGUCUUGAGUACUGGAGAGGGAAGCGGAAUUCCGGGUGUAGAGGUGAAAUUCGUAGAUAUCCGGAGGAACACCAGUGGCGAAGGCGGCUUCCUGGACAGUAACUGACGCUGAGACGCGAAAGCGUGGGGAGCAAACAGGAUUAGAAACCCGUGUAGUCC